AUUGAACGCUGGCGGCAGGCCUAACACAUGCAAGUCGAGCGGAUGAAGGGAGCUUGCUCCUGGAUUCAGCGGCGGACGGGUGAGUAAUGCCUAGGAAGCUGCCUGGUAGUGGGGGAUAACGUCCGGAAACGGGCCCUAAUACCGCAUACGUCCUGAGGGAGAAAGUGGGGGAUCUUCGGACAUCACGCUAUCAGAUGAGCCUAGGUCGGAUUACCUAGUUGGUGGGGUAAAGGCCUACCAAGGCGACGAUCCGUAACUGGUCUGAGAGGAUGAUCAGUCACACUGGAACUGAGACACGGUCCAGACUCCUACGGGAGGAAGCAGUGGGGAAUCUUGGACAAUGGGCGAAAGCCUGAUCCAGCCAUGCCGCGUGUGUGAAGAAGGUCUUCGGAUUGUAAAGCACUUUAAGUUGGGAGGAAGGGCAGUAAGUUAAUACCUUGCUGUUUUGACGUUACCAACAGAAUAAGCACCGGCUAACUUCGUG
Molecule: ribosomal RNA, 484 nt
Filed under: uncultured bacterium
Lineage: Bacteria
Description: partial 16S ribosomal RNA
Rfam family: Bacterial small subunit ribosomal RNA
Source: RNAcentral